AUGACUGGAGCGUCUGGCUCGCGGAGAUCAACAUGGCAGUUUUCCUGUGCACCCGCAUAAAACCGUCCGCCUACUCAGAUGUGGCUGAGGGAGUGGACUGCUGCUGGUCAUCUCUAUCAGAGGCUGGAGUGCAGUGGCGUUAUCUUGGCUCACAGCAACCUCUGCCUCCUGGGUUCAAGUGAUUCCCCUGCCUCAGCCUUCCGAGUAGCUGUUACUACAGCUAUUCUACUCUUCAUAUGUGAAGGAGUUUGGGUAUAAAAAGAACAAAAGGCAACAUUUGAAGACAUCUCAGAAACCAUUCAAAAGGAAAAACCUUGAUGAUUAGUCAGUAAUUUUGGAGGGAAAAAGUGAAAGGAAUGUUGAUGGACACCACUCUCCUCCCCUGGUGACAACUCUUGAUGCAUCCCUACUGUGACAAGGAAUUCGUGACUAAGAAUCUCAUGGAAUCUAAAUGCGGUCACUGAUGGAAAUUUAGGUUUCCACAAAGAGUGCAGGAAGAAAUUUACAUGGCAAAAAAAAAGAAAAGAUUUGCUCUGGCAAAUGGGUGAGCAAGUUUAUGAACUUUGGACAUAUUGAGAUUAUGUAAGUCCUUGGACAGCAUUAAUAUAAUAUUAUCUAAUUUGUAAUAAAAGUGUAUACCCAUUUUAUUCAUUAAGUAUAAAUAUUUGGAAAGACGAUAGAUUUUAAGCCAGGUAUGGAGUGAACUGACACAUUCAUCCACAAAAGUCAGAUCAAGUUAAUGAAAAAAGAGAAGAUUGAGGUGUUACUAUUCAGUAGUACUUCUUUUUAUUUAUUACUUUAUUCAUCAGCACAUCCAGGAGAGCUUAAUAACUCGCUCUCCUAGAAUAAAAAUCCUAGUUGGUACUCCCACCAUGGCCAAUUUUAAGGACAAGGAACACUAAGUUACAAGGAAAUGACAAUAAUCAGUUCUCAUUAGAUGGUAAGGACAGGUGUGAACACUGUGUUACAGCUAACCAGGAGAAAAAGGAAUGUUACGGAACUUAAACUGCUUAGAAUGUUGAUAUAAUAAAGGGGGAUAGGGAAACAGCAAGCACUGAGGCUGGUGAGCCAGGCAGAAGUCAGAGUGGGAGGAGCCUUGAGGUCUCUCCAGGAGAUUCAGGGACCAUAGGAUUUGGUAGUGAUUCAGGUAUGGGAUGAUCAUGGCCCUCAUCAUUGUAGUGACCACAGUAUUUUGCAGGAAUCCAAAAAACAGAUGAUAGACAUGUCCGUAACCAUGAUAGUGCCCAUGGGAUUUUGUAGCUAUAGAGUGAAAAGAUGACAGUGGCCAUAUCCAGGGUAAUGUCUACGGGAAUUUGUGAAUAUCCAGGUAAGAAAUGAGUGUUUCUACUUAGGAAUUGAACAUGGGAUACUGAAGUUAUAAAGGUAGGAAAUGAUGAUAAACCUAACAGUGGGGGUGAGCAUGGUGUUUUCUAGAUAUCCAGAUAAGAGAGGAUGAUGGCCCUAACUCGAGUACCAAAAUUGGAUUUCCUCAGGUAAGCACAUAGGAGCUGAAGAUGUUUCUUACCAUGUUAGUGAACAUGGCAUUUUGUGCUAUUCCAGACAUGAUGGCGAACCUAACCACAAAAUGACCAUGAGAUUGUCAGGGGUCUAGUAAAGACAUGAUGGUGCCCUUAACUGUGAAGGUUAUGACGAAAUUUGUAGGUCAGUAAUUAAGAGAUGAUGCUGAUAAUAACCACAGUAAGGAGCAGGGGAUUUUGCAAGUAACCAGGUAAGAGAUGAUGGUAUCUCUAAAAAUAUGGUGACCAUGGAAUUUUGAGGAUAUCCAAUCAAGGAAUAAUGUGUUACUAGUAAUGGUAGUACCAAGGGAUUUUACAGUUACCCUGGAAAGAAAUGAUGUGUCCCUAGCAAUGGCAUUUAAUCUGGGUAAUUUGUAGGUCUUCAUGUAUGGUAGGCUUCUCUAAAUCUGGUAGAUCUCACGGGCUUCUGUAGGCAUCCACAUGAGAGAUGACGUGACACAAAUUGCAACCAAUUGCCACCAUUGUAACCUAGGUGUUUUAUAAGUAUCCAGCUUAAAGCUGUAGCUUUAUUUAUUCCUUGGAUGUAAGACUUUCAUGUUAUCUAUUGUUUUCUUUCUUUUUGAAACAGAGUCUGGCUGAGGUAAGUGCUGAUGUGGGCCUAAACCACAGCCUGCACCGUGGGACUGUCACAGAGACACAGUUGAGUGAUGAUGUGUCCCUACAGGCCUUACCACCAUUAUUUCCUUCAUACUUAUUCAGGUGAGAAAUGAUUGAGUCUUGUCUUGGUAAGUGAUGAUGGUGAUGAUGGUGUAGGCCUCCCUGUUGUUCCCGAUUUCGCUUCAGGUGUCCCUGACAUAUUCGAAACCGUGAGUUUUCCCUCUGCAUAUUUCAGAGACAAUGCCUAACCCCGUGUUCACAGUGGAACUUUGAAUACUUGGUAAUUAUCCGGUGUUCCUUCCCACAGCAGUGACCAUGGACAUUUUGCAGGUGUCCUGUAGAGAGAAAUGCUGUCUUCUGGGACCACCGCCCUGAGCUUGGGGGCCCCCACUAGCAUUCAGGUUCCCGGGAGAAAAUCCUGAAGAACGGGGGUCAUGAGCAGGGGACGUGUCUGCUAUCUGGGUAAGUGAUUGUGUGCACCAUAAACUUACCACGGACAACCUGAUCUUCACGUUUGUAGGUCAGUGAGGUUCCUUUCCCUGAACAGUUUACCAUGUGAUGCGUUUAUGGGUAUUCCGGUAAGAAAGGGUAGUGGCUCCUCGUUCUCCUUGCCAUGUAAUCCUAUUGUUUUCUGUCUUGGAGAGAACGUAUGAGGUAAGUACCCUGUGAGUGCUGAUGGAUUGGCACGUAACCAGGGAACUCCAGUGGCACUGUGCAUCACAGGAGUAACUAAGGUGGAUGUGCAGAGAAGACGGCCAGAGAAAAUGAAGUGUCCUAUGAUGUCCUACCCCUUGGAGCAACCACAAGCAUCCAGAAGUCAAGGGAACCCUCAUUAUGCUCGAGCAGGGGCACUCUGCCCAUAUCCAGAGAGGAGACAGUAUGGGCGUAAGCAGGCCAUGGACGAUCCAGUCUUCCGAUACACAGGAUAAUGUGCAUUGAACCUGAGUCCGUGUUGACUGUGGUAGAUGCGGGUGUCCAGGUAUGCCAAGUGGCAUCCCGGAAAACACCUGUCAGAUGCGUUUCUUCUGCUGCUGCUAGUCAUGAGAUCAAGGUGGGUCUGAGAAUGGCCAUUCAGAGGCCCUGGAUAGUAACCAGGUAAUGGAUGACACCAGUCCUAUGCCAAUACAGACCACUUGAACUUCAGAUUUCCUGGACAAAGAGGGCACUGUCCUUGACACAGUGUUUUUCCCAUGGUUUCCUGCAGGAGUCCCGUAAAGUUCUCUUCCUGUAGAGAGGUAGGAGAUGUUGUGGCAUUACCUCAUGAAAGACAUUCUGAAUUUCCUGCAUGUAGAUAGUUAAUGAUGGUUUAAGUCUGGUAGAGUAACCUUGUGUUUGGCAUAUGUGUCAUUGAGAAAAAAUAAUUAGUGAUUCCCAAUGCCAGUAAGCAUGAGAUUUUACUGUUUGCUUAUUCAGAGGUAAGGGCUUUUAUUUUUUUUUUUCGGUAAAUCUGACCCUCCACGUGAGAAACAGAUAUGCCAGUGCCCAGGUAGUUGAUCAUAUUGUCUGUCACCCCGAUGUGGACUGUGCUGUUUCUCCAGGUAUCCCUCGGAGGCUCUGGCUUAGAUAUUUUCAGUUAUCUGGGUAACCUGGAUGAGUUGCGAAACGAUACCAAUGAACAAGAGUAUUUGUGGGUGUCCUCGUAGCAUAGGUUGUGUACCAAGCAGAGUUUCCCCAAUAUGUCUUUCAGAUGAAUGUCAGGGCAUCACAGCAGGCCUUUUGAAGCUAGGUAACGUGGGGCAUUGCUGGCUGAGGUAAGUGCUGACACAGGCCUAAACCACAGCCCGCAGCAUCGUACUGUCACAGAGGCUUAUUUCAAUGAUGAUGUGCCCCUACACAUCUUCCCGCCAUGAUUUCUUUUCCAUGUAUUCAGAUGAGAAAUGAUUCCGUUUUCACCACUCCCAGAUAGGCCGGGUUUUCCCAUUUUAUAAAAGUAUAUGCUGAACCCUGUGAGUGUUGAGGGAUUGCAGGGAGCCAGGUAUUUAUCGCUGUGUUCCCCACUUCUGUGCUGCCGCUCCGAUUUCUAGAGAUGUGCAGUUGAGAAACAGUAGUUUUCUGCUGUCAGGGUCGACCUGAGAUUACUGCAACUAUACACAUCGAGUGGGUGUGUCCCAUAAAGAUGGAAAUAAACAUGGGACUUUGUGGGAGUCUUUGCAGAAAACCCCCUGUCUUUUUACACAUAUGUAUUGGUGCCUCUUUCAGAUUCCUGCUAUGACAUCACAGUGAAUCCAACAUGGGUCCCUAUCAGGAAGCAGGGCUGCUCUGCAGGUCAAGGCUGCAUGAGGACCCAAAGCAACACAUGGGCCACUUGAAGUUCAGGUGUAUAGGUAAGUGAGGAUGGUGUCCAUACUUCCUGUUGUUCCCAUGAUUUCACCUCAGGUGUCCUGGUCAGAAAUGACAAAUGUCCCUGGCACACUAGAAACCGUGAGAUUUCCCUCUGCAUAUUUCAGAGACAAUGUCUAACCCAGUGAGCACAGUGGGACUGCAAAUACCAGGUAAUGAUCUUGGGGUUCCCAGCCACAGCGAUUACGCUGGACAUUUUGCAGGUGUCUUGUAGAGAGAAAUGCUGUUUUCUGGGCCUGCAGCCCUGAGCUUAGGGGGUCCCACCAGCAUCCAAGUAAGAGUCCUUCAACGAUGGAUGCGAGCAUUGUGAUUUGCAUGUGUCCUGUUAGAACACUUUGUGUGUUUCUGAGGCAUAUAUCUCAGUGUAGGUUUUCCAGGGUCCCACAAGGAAAUCCCGAUAAACAGGAGUCAGGAUCAGGGAACACGUCUGCUAUCUGGGUAAGUGAUGGUGUUCAUGGUAAACUCACCACACACCAGGCGAUCUCCACAUACCUAGGUAAGCAAGGUUCCUUUGCCUGAAGGGUUUAUCAUGUGAUGGGUUAACAGGUAUUUUGGUAAGAAAGGGUAGCGGCUCUCCGUUCUCCUCGCCAUGUGAUCCUAUUGAUUUCUACCCUGGAAAGAAUGUAUGAUGUAUGUGGUCUGUGAGGGCUGAUUGAUUGUCACAUACCCAGGGAACUCAUGUGGCAUUGUGCAUCACAGGAGUAACUGUGGUGGAUUUGCAGGGAAACUGGCCAGGGAAAAAUAGUGUGUCCUACAAUGGCCUAGACCCUGGAGGGCCUGCAAGCAUCCAAAUACAUUUUUGACUCCCACAGUGAUUAUACUGAGCAAGGCGGUUUGCAGGAUCCUGAUGGAAAAGCUGUGUCUGUUGAGCCAUUGAUCACACUUGCAGUUUCAGGUUCAGGCAGGCAGAAGUCAGAGCAUGAGGACAACAUUGAGGUCUCUCCAGGCGAUUUAUGGACUCUCGGAUUUGGUAGUGAUUCAGGUACGAGAUGAUCAUGGCUCUCAUCAUUGUAGUGACCAUGGUAUUUUGAAGGAAUGCAAAAACAGAUGAUGGGCCCGUCCCUGACCAUGGUAGUGCCCAUGGGAUUUUUUAGCUAUAGAAUGAAAAGAUGACAAUGACCAUCUCCAUGGUAAUGUCUGAAAUUUUUAAAAUAUCCAGGUAACAAAUGAAUGUUUCUGCUUAGGAAGUGAACAUAGAAUACUGAAGUUACAGAGUUAAGAAAUGAUGAUAAACUUCACCAUGGGGGUGACCAUGAUAUUUUCUAGAUAUCGAGAUAAGUGAGGAUGGUGACCCUAACUUGACUACCAAAAUUGAGUUUGCUCAGGUAGGCAUGAAGGAGCUGAUGAUGCCGCUUCCCAUGUUAGUGAAUAUGACAUUUUGUGGUAUUCCAGAUAUGAUGGCGAACCUAAUCACAAAAUAACCAUGAGAUCAUGAGAUUGUCAGGGGUCUAGUAAAAAGAUGGUGGUCCCCUUAACCAUGAAAGUUAUGAUGAAAUUUUGUAAGCCAGUAAUUAAGAGAUCACAGAGAUCCUAACCGUGAUACUGAACAAGGAAUUUUGCAAAUCACCAGGUAAGAGAUGAUUGUGUCUCUAAAAAUGUGGUGACCGUGGGAUUUUGCAGAUAUCCAAUUAAGGAAUAAUGUGUUCCUAGAAAUUGUAGUACCAAGGUAUUCAGCAGUUACCCAGGAAAGAAAUGGUAUGUCCCUAGCAAUGGCAUUUAAUCUGGGUAAUUUGUAGGUCUCCAUGUAUGGUAGGUUUUUCUAAAUCUGAUAGAUCUCAUGGGCUUCUGUAGGCAUCCGCAUGAGAGAUGAUAUGUCAUAAAUUGUAAGUAACUGCCACUACCGUAACCAAAGUAUUUUAUAAGUGUCCAGCUAAGAGCUCUGGCUUUAUGUAUUUGUUGGAUUUAUGACCAUUUUUUUCUGUGUUUUCAUAGUUUUUUUUCUUUUUUUGAGAGUCUGGCUGAGGUAUUGCUGAUGCACGCAUAAACCACAGCAUGCACCAUGGGACUGUCCCAGGGACCUGGUUCACUGAUGAGAUGUCCCCACACGUCUUCCCGCCGUGAUUUCUUUCACAGAUGACCAAAAUGGAUCCUACAGUAUAAUCACACAGGAUAAUGUUGGAAAGUAUGACUAUCUAAAUUAUUUUUAAAGGCAUUAUUUUUCCCCUUUGAUUUUCAAAUUCUUUCUCAUAAUUUCUAAAAUGGUGUCGACAGCGGCCUGUACUGUGCCUUCACUGAUGUCAUCACUGAGAUCACUCUCAAUUGCUCUCGAACUUGUUGUUGGCCUUUCGUGUAGGUAUGAACUGUGGCCCGGCAGAUCUGACUGUUGUUGCUGCUGCUUCUGUUCCUGCUGAUGCUUUUCAAAAUAGUCUUCUUUUAUUUUCUUCGGCUGUUCUGAAGCAGGAGUUACACAUGAUGUCUUUGGAAGAUCUUGCGAUGUGUUUCCGGAACUACCUUGCAUGCUUAACUCAAUAGUACUGCGGAGAUGUUCAUCUUCUCUAUUGGUUUCUUGGCGGCUUAGUUCAAGGGCCCUCUGAAAAUCCUCCUCAUCUUGGUCUGAUGUUCCAGACUCAUCACUUUCUUCUGAUACUUUUUCAAGGACUGUUUUAUAGACUCUAUGCUCUUUUUGUUUUACUAAUUUUUUUCCAUUAAGUUUUGGUGUAUCCAUCUCUUCGACACUGAUGAUCUGCAGGAGUUGGUCAGCUUCACAGUCUGGCAGAUCACCCUUGACAACAAAUACAGAAUAUGCUUGUUGUUGUAAUCGAGCCAAGAAAUUUGCAAGGCAUGUAUCUGAUAUUAAUUCUGGACCCGCCAAGAGAGAAUUCAAGUUAAACCAGUGUUUUCCAAAUUUUCUAAUAGUAAACCAGUGUUGUUUAUAAUUACAUAUAAAAGAUCUUUCAUUUAUAGGAUCAAUGCCGAGCUUCUGAUAUUCAGGAUUAUUGAAAUGGAUGAUCUCUAAACCCCAGAACUUCAAGGCAUUGCUUAUUACCUGAAUGGAGAAGAAACCGGUAUCAUCCAUGUUUUCUGAAGGCUGCUGUAAAAAUGCAAGAUACUCUUCACUGGUGACUCCUCCUUCUGCCAUUCUCAUCCUCUCUUCUUCAUCUAGCUGAUGUGCAAUUGAGGCUAAUUCCACAGGGCUAAAAUAUUCUCCUUGCAAUAGAUUGUUCAGACAGUGCUGAGCACACAGGAAACCUUCCUGUUUCUCAUGAAAGAUGAAAUCCAUGUUAAUUGUAUCCGUGAGUUUCUGUAGGUAUGCCGGAAGAUGUUGUAUGCCCAGCUAUGGCAGUUACCUGGGCAGUUUGUGGAUAGCCAUGUAACAGAUGUUAGGUUUUCAAACCUUAUGAAGACCAUGGGUUUUUGCAGGUAUUCAGGUAAGAGAUGGUAUGUCACAAAGCACUAUUGUGACCAAGGUGGUUUUGCCAGUAUCCAGUCAAAAGCUGAUGGUAAACCUAAAGUGAAUAUGGGAUUUUGGAGUUAUCCCAUAGAUGAUAAUGGUGACUUGCACCAUAGUAGUGCCCGUUGGAAUUUCAGAUGUCCUAUAAAAAUAAUGUCUCUCUAAUUAUGCUUGUCAGCAUGGUUUUAGUAAGUAAAUAAAGGUGAAAUUUACCACAGCACUAAACAGAAGAUUUGGCAGGUAACUGGGAGAGAAAUAACAUGGGCUUUAACCGAAUGGACACCAUGGGAUUUUGGAACUGUCUGGCUAAGUUAUCAUGAUGUCACUGACCACAAUAAUAGCCAUAGAAUUUUGUAGGUUCCAGUCAAUAGAUGACAAUAAAACUCACAGUGGCAAUGAAGAUGGGACUUUGCUGGUAUCCUAGUUAGAGAUUAUGUGGACCUGAAAAACAUGAGUGACCAAAUGAUCUUCAGACAUCUAGAAAACUGAUGAUGAUGUCCUGAACUCUUUUCUUAUCCAUGUGUUUUUACAGGUGUUCAGGUAAGAAAUGUAUGUGCCUAACAAAAGUAGUAACCAUUAGAUUUUACUGUUUUCUAGUUCAGAGACAAUCUUUCUCAAACUUAGUAGUGACAAAGAUAUUAGCAGGUAUCCGGGUAAGAUAUCACAGAGUUCCUCACCACAGUAGUAACUAUGGGAUUUUUGCAGGAGUCCAGUGAACAGACAGUGUGUGAAACUACUAUGUUGACCUUGGACUUCUCUUGAGUGUCCAAGUACACUUAGUGGUUGCCCUAAUGAUUAUAGUGAGUGUAUGCAUGGAAUUAUCAGGGGUCCAGAUGGAAGGACAUGUAUCCUGACCAGGGUUGCCACCAUAUGUUUUCUCAGCAGGUAGUCAAGAGAUGAUGGUGUCUCUAACUACAACAUUGGCCUCAGAACCUUAAGAUUCAGGUAGAGUUCAUGGUUCCCCUAACAAUACUAGUCACCAUGGGAUUUUUUGAGGUGCGUAUAGAAGAUGUAUCCCUAACCACUACUGCUGCCAUAUGGUUUUGCAAGCUCCUAUCAAGAGAUAAUGGUGAAACUCAUAUUAGUCAUUUUUGUAGGAAUUUCAUGGAAUCUAGCUAAGUGAUUAUGUGGACCUUAAACACAGUACAGACCAUCUGCUCUUCAGACAUCGAGGUAAGUGACGAUGAUGUCCUCAACAUGUGUUGGUAUCAUGUGUUUUGCAGGUAUUCGGGUAAAAAAAAAUGAUACGGGCUCUACCAAUAAGUAUUGGAAUCCAUGAGCUUUAGCUUAACCAGUUUUCUAGUUUAGAGAUAUUGUGUGUUUAACUUUAGGAGUGAAUGAGGGAUUUUCAGGUAUCUAGGCAAGUGAUCAUAACUUUCUUCACCACAGUAAUGACCUUGAGAUUUUUAUAGAUGCCCAGACAAUAAAUGACGGUGCCUGUACCAAUGUGUUGACCUUCAGGUUCUGCCAAUAUCCAGGUAGCAUUAAUGGGUUUGUAAAGAUGGAAGUGACAAAAGUUAUUUGCAGAUGUUCUGCUAGAAAAAGUUGCAUUCUUAAACACAUCUGUCACAAUAUGUUUUUUCAGGUUUCAGUCUAAAGAUCAAGGUAACCCUAACAACGGGGAUUAACAUGGAGCUUUGCUGGUAUCCAGGCAAGUGAUGAUGUGGGUCUUAUCACACGGUAGACAUUGUGACCUUCAGAAGUUUACAUAAGUGAUGAUGAUACCUCUAACAUUUGUGUUACCGUGUUUUUUUGGGUUUUUGCAGAUAUUCAGGUAAGAAAUUAUAGUGUUCCCAUAAUUCCUAUUUAAUAAUACACCCUUGCUGCUUACUAGUGCAGAGAUAAUGUUUUGAAAUCUGGCUAUGACUGAGGGAUUUGUAAGUUUCCAAGUAAAUUAUCGUACUGUUUCUCAUCUCAGUAUUGACUAUGGUAUUUUUACAGGUACCCAGUCAAGAGAUUAUGACAUAUCCAUGGUUUUGACCUGGAUAUUCUGCAAGUAUCAAGGUGCUGUCAGUGGAUGGUGGUGAAACUAACAAUGAUAGUGAACAUGGACUUAGCUAAAAGAGAGGGAAAAGAUGGUGUGAGCCUUUACACUUUGGAGAGCUUCAGAUUUCAGUUAUCUCGGAUUCUGUCAGGAGAUUAUGGUGAGCCCAACAGUGGUAGUUGAUGUGGGACACUGCUGGAAUAUAGGUAACUGAUGUGGUAAGUUUAAAUCACAGCAAGUCUACUUGAUUUUCCUAUAUCUAGGUAAGUGAUUAAUGAUGUCCCAAAUACUUGUUACUGUGUUUGUUUCUUUUUUCUUUAUGUAUUCAGUGAUGAAAAGUUCUUACUAGUAAUAGAACCCAUGAGUUCUUUCUUUUUACCUUUUAGGGAAAAUUUCUUUAACUUUGUGAGUAUUGAGGGAUUGUCACAGUAAUUACCAUUGUGUUUCCCACUGCAUUCGUAAUCAUGGGAUCUUUGCAGUUAUCCAGUCAAGAAAUUAUGGUCUUAUCUGAAAUGGUGUUUACCUUGAUGUACUACAAAUAUUCAAGUAGAGAUGAUGUGUCCAGUAAUAUUGGAAGUAACUAAGGUUAGUUGACAGCAUCCUCAUAGAAAAUAAAUUGUGUCCUUUAACAUGUAUUUUCUAAAGUGUUUUUCAUGUUCCUGUCAAGAGAGCAUGGGGAACCUAAAGACGGUGGUUAACAUGGGACGUUGCUGGUGUCCAGGUAAGUGAUGAUGUGAGCCAUAGUGGUAUUGUUGGCUUCUACUUAGUGUUGUCAGCUUUUGUUUUUUUUUAAAGUAUUCAAGUACGAAAUGAUAAUCUCGUUACUGUUACUAUUAACUAUGUUGUUUGUUUUAUAUAUUAAUGUAAACUUAUGUUUAGCCUAGUGAGUGUUGGAUUUGCAGAAAUCUAAGUAAUUCUUAUGAUGUCCUGCUUGUCAGAUGUAACCCCGGGACUUCUGGAAGUGUGCAGUGAACAGAAAGUGUUUUCACUAACAGUAGUGCAGACCAUAGAAUACUACAAGUAAUCAGGUAGAAUUGAUGGGUCCUGCAAUGGAGGAAGCCACCAACUUUGUCCAUAGCUGUUCAGGAGGAAAAAAUUGUGUGCAUAGGAACAUUUGUAAAAAUUUGUUCUUCAGGUUUCAGUCCAGAGAACAUGAUGAACUUCAAAAUGGUCAUUCACAGGGAUUCACCUGGUGCCCAGGUAAGUGCUGAUGUGAGCCUAAACCACAGUACAGGCCAUCUGAUCUUAGGCCAUCUGAUCUUCAUGUAUAUAGGUAAUGAUGGUGUCACAUUUUUUUGACUAUGUGUUUAUCGCAACUAUUCAGCUAAGCAUGAGAUAGCCCUUAACAAUAUGAGGAACCAUGAAUUUUCACUUUUUUAUUCUGUAGAGAAUGUAUGCUCAACCCUUUUAGUGAUGAAGAACUGCACAUGUCUAGAUAACUAUCGUGGUGCUCCUCCUCCACUAGUAGCCAUGGGAAUUUUGAGAUUAUAGUCAGGAAAUGAUGUUUUUAUCUGGCAACAGCACUUCCUUGGAGUACUUCAGAUAUUCAGAUGCCUAUCCAGAGAUCACAAAGGACCUAAAUAUGUUUGUUAACAGGAGACGUUGCUGGUGUCCAGAUAUGUCUUCAAGAGAUGAAGGAGUUUCUUACCUUGGUUUGAACUUGGAAUUCAGCAGGCAUCCAGAUCCAAGUCAAGACAUCAUAGUGAGUCUGUGAAAGGUAAUCAGGGAGUCUGUGAAAGAUGGGAUGUUGCCGGUAUCAAGGCAAGAGAUGGUGUGGGACAAAAGCACAGCACAGCACAGCCCAUCUGAUCAUCAUGUGCAUAGGUUCCUGUGAACUGAUUGUUAUGAAACUAAAAGUGGAUGUUAAUAAAAACAUUUCUGCUCUAAGUAAGUGAUGAUGCACACCCUAACCAAUCAUGAAUCAUCUGAUUUUUAUAUAUCUAGGUAAGUUUUACCAUUUGAUUUUUGGUACGUAGUCAGGCAAAACAUGAUAGCAUUUUAUUAAUUCUAGCAGACGUGUUAAUCCAGAGUUUGUAUUUCACAGAAAAUUUACAUUUAACCAGGUGAGUGGUCAAUGAUUUCCAUGUGUCCUUGAAAAUAUCUUGUGGCUCCCCAUCAGGGUAGCAACCAUGGGAUAUUAUCAGCUGUGCAGUUAUCACCACCCAUGAUGGUGUCUCUAACAAAGAUAUGUUGACCUUGAAUUGAAGCAAGUAUCUAGGUAGAGUUGAUGUGUAUUCCAAAAUAAUGGAAGCAUACAAGGUUGUAGGCAAGUGCCCGGGGAGAACAAGUUGUGACCUUAAACACAUUUGUCUUAUAUGAUGUUUCAGGUUCUUGUCAAAACUAUGAGGUGAAUCACAUAAUGCUCAGUAAUGAAACAUUGCUUGUAAACAGGUAGUGAUAACUGUUUGCGUCCUGUAAUGGGGGUAAUUACACAAUGCAGAGCGUUGGAUUUUCUAGGUAGGUAAAAAGGGAUCCCUAAUGCUUAAGCUACUGUGUAUUUUGUAGGUAAUCCAUUCAGGUUUUUGGGCUAGUAUACAGCUACCAGAUAAGGUUGUAUUAACAUGUAAAACACCUUGGUAUUUUCGGAUAUCAACUUUAUUAAUGUUUUACACAAUAUUAACUUAAACUUGUUUUUCACAUUUAUGCAGUUAAAAAUAAAUAUGCCUCUAGUAAUACAAAUAAUCAAGAGAAUUUAUUGCAUGUCUUGACAGAUAAUGAGUAUUGAACACUUACAGAGCUACACAAAUCCACAGGCAUCUGGAUUAACAGUAUUGUCCAAAACCAUGAAAUUAACAACUGGAAUUAUGCAGGGAUCUAAUCAAGAAAGUACAAGGAUUCUUAAAAGGCGUUUUCCUCAAAUUUCUACAAGUAUUGAGGUACCUUUGAUGAUUACAAAAAUAAUAAAAGGGACCAGAAAAGAUUGGAGGUAUAUAGGUAGAAUGAUACGUGUACCAGUCACACUGUUCACAAUAUAUAUUUCAGAUUUACAUUAACAUAUCGCAGCAAGCCUGUCAAAGCUAGGUAACAUGGGACAUUGCUGGCAGAGGUAAGUGCUGAUGCGGGCCUUAACUACAGCCCGCAGCGUGGGACUGUCACAGAGACUAGUUCAGUGAUGAUGUGUCCCUAAACGUCAUCCCGCCAUGAUUUUUUCCCAGGUAUUCAGGUGAGAAAUGAUUGAGUCUUAACCAAUCUCAGAUAGGCUAGGUUUUCUAAUUUUCUCUUUCACCGAAAGUGUAUGCUGACCCUGUGAGUGUUGAGGGAUUGCAAGUAACCAGGUAUUUAUCACUGUAUUACCCACCCCCAUACUGCCCCUGGGAUUUGUGGAAGUGUCCAGUUGUGAAACGGUGGUUUUCUGCUAUCAGGGUCGACCUAGGAUUACUGCAAGUAUCCAGGUCGAGUGGUGUGUCCCAUAAAGCUGGAAGAACUCAAGGUUCUUUGCAGGAGUCCUGGUGGAAAACCCUGUGUCCUUCUACGUAUAUGUUUUCAUGCCUAUUUCAGCCCCUGACCGUGACAUCACAAUGAGUAUGAUACAGGUCUGGAGGUCAGCACUGAUGAGGACUGAAAGCAACGCACGGGCCACGUAAGGUUCAGCAGUCUAGGAAAGUGAUGAUGGUGUCCAUCCUUCCUGUUGUUCCCAUGAUUUCACUUCAGUUGUCCUAGGAAAAAAUGGUAAGACUCCCUGGCAUAGUAAACUGUGAGUUUUCCCUCUGCAUAUUUCAGAGACAAUGACUAACCCUGUGAGUGCAGUGGGACAGCAAAUACCAGGUAAUGAUCUGGCUUUCCCAGCCACAGCAGUGACCGUAGACAUUUUGCAGGUGUCCUGUAGAGAGAAAUGCUGUCUUCUGGGACCACGGCCCUGAGCUUGGGGACCCUGUCAGCAUCCAGGUUCCCGGGAGGAAAUCCUAACUAACCAGAGACACAAUCAGGGGACGUGUCUGCUAUCUGGGUAAGUGAUGGUAUGUGCUGUAAACUCAACACAGACCAUUUGAUCUUAAUGUAUUAGGUCAGUGAGGUUCCUUUCCCUGAACGGUUUACCAUGUGAUGGGUUUAUGGGUGUUCUGGUAAGAAAGGGUAGUAGCUCCCCGUUCUCAUUGCCAUGUGAUCCUGUUGUUUUCAGUCCAGGAGAGAACGUAUGAGGUAUGUACCCUGUGAGUGCUGAUUGAUUGGCACGUGCCCAGGGAAUUCACAUGGCACUGUGCAUCACAGGAGUAACCAUGGUGGCUUUGCAGAGAAGCGGGCCAGAGAAAAUAGCAUGUCCUGCAAUGGCCUAGACCUUGGAGGACCUGCAAACAUCCAGGUACAAUUUUGGCUCCCACAACGAUGAUCGUGAGCAGGCGGUUUUCAUGGUCCUAGUGGAAAUGCUGUGUCCAUAGACACAUUGGUCACAUAUGUGGUUUUAGGUUCCCGUGGAAAGGUCACAGGAAACCUCUUCGUGCUUGAGCGGAGGACUGUGCCUGUAUUUAGGUGGGUGAUGGCGUGGGCCUAAGCAGGCCACGGACUAUCCGAUCUUCCCAUACACAGGUAAAUGCAGAUGGCUUUCUGGCUCUUGUCCCUGUCCUGCCAUGGGUUCCUCGGCUCAUUUUCUGUUCUUUAUUUUCUGCAGUUAUUCAGUUAAGAAACGAUGCUUUGCCAACCAAGACUGGUAAGCAUUAGUCCUUGCUAUGUUCAACUUUAGGAAAAUGUGCCUUGAACCUGAGUCCGUGUUGACUGAGGGAGAUGUGGGUGUCCAGGUAAAUUAUCCUACUCUACCAGACCACAGGAUGGAAUGAUAGUUCUGACACAUCCUCAGUCCAGAGUCAAUAAUGGUGCCAGCAGUGGGGUGGAAGUUGGAGUUCUGCCAGGAUCUAGGUAAGGCCGAUGGUUCCCAGAUGAUGGCAGUGACCAGGCUGUGUAGUGCAUAUCUUUUUCGUCUUUCAGGUACGCCAAGUGGCAUCCCGGAAAACACCUGUCAGAUGCAUUUCUUCUGCUGCUGCUAGUCAUGAGAUCAAGGCCAGCCUGAGAACGGCCAUUCAGGGGCCCUGGAUUGUAACUGGUUAAUUGAUCACAUGAGUCCUAUGCCAGUACAGACCACCUGAACUUCAGAUUUCCUGGACAAAGAGGGCACUCUCCUUGACACACUGUUUUUCCCAUGGUUUCCUGCAGGAGUCCCGUAAAGUUCUCUUCCUGUAGAGAGGUAGGAGAUGUUGUGACAUUAUCUCGUGAAAGACAUUUUGUGUUUCCUGCAUGUAGAUAAAAUUAAUGACGGUUUUGAGUCUGGUAGAGUAACCUUGUGUUUGGCAUAUGUGUCAUUGGGAAAAAAUAAUUAGUGAUUCCCAAUGCCAGUAAGCAUGAGAUUUUACUGUUUGCUUAUUCAGAGGUAAGGCUUUGUUUGUUUGUUUUUUGCAAAUUUCACACUCCACGCAAUAGACAGAUAUGCCAAUGCCCAGGUAGUUGAUCAUAUUGUCUGUCACCCAGAUGUGGACUGUGGUGUUUCUGCAGGUAUCCCUUGUAGACUGUAGCCUCAGAGUUCUUCUGUUAUCCAGGUAGCCUUGAUGAGUCGUGAAAUGAUGCCAGUGAACAAGAGUAUUUGUGAUUGUCCUUGUAGCAUAGGUUGUGGACCAAGCAGUUUCCAUAAUAUGUCUUUCAGAUGUGUGUCAGGGCAUCACAGCAGGCCUUUCAAUCCUAGGUAAUGUGGGACAUUGCUGGGUGAGGUAAGUGCCACAGCCUGCAGUGUGGGACUGUUACAGAGACCUAGUUCUGUGAUGAUGUGUCCCUACAUGUCUUCCCAUCGUGAUUUCUUUCCCAGGUAUUUGGGAGAGAAAUGAUUGAGUCCUUACCAAUCCCAGGUAGGCCGAGUUUUCACAUUUUCUGUUUCACCAAAAGUAUAUGCUGAACCCUGAGAGUGUUGAGGGAUUGCAGGUAACCAGCCAGGUAUUUAUCACUGUGUUCCCCACCCCUGUUCUGCCAAUAGGAUUUCUCCUGGUGUCCAGUCAAGAAAUAAUGGAUUUCUGCAUAGAUUUUGACCGUGUAUCACUGAAGUUGUGCAGAUAUUCCGAUAAGAAAUGUAGAGUCCUGGCUGAGCGCAGUGGCCCACGCCUGUAAUCCUGGCACUUUGGGAGGCCGAGGCUGGUGGAUCACAAGAUUCCUGGAAGAAAUCCCAAUGAACAGGGGUCAUUAUCAGGCCACAUUUCUGGUAUCUGUGGUAAGUAAUGAUGUUCACUUUAACCCCAUCACAGACCAUUUGAUCUUCAUAUAUCUAGGUAAGUGAUGUCUGUUUACGUGAACUGUUUAUCAUGUGCUUUUAUAACAGUGAUUUUUGUAAGUAAUGACAGUAUUUCUAGUUCUAGUGACCAUGUUAUAUUGUUUUUAAUUUAGAGAAAACUUAUGGUUUACGCUGUGAGUAUCAAAUGAUUUGCGUGUACACAGAUAACAACGUGGUGUGCUUCAUAGUAGUAACUGUGGUAUCCUUGCAGAUAGGUAGUCAAGAAAAAAUGGUGUGUCCUUCAAGGUUGUAGACCUUGGGAAUACUGCAAAAUUCCAUGUAGAUUUAUGUCUUCUGCAAUGAUGACAGCCAACAAGUUAUUUGCAGGGUUCUGGUGGAAGAGUUGUGUCCACAGACACAUUUGUCAUAAUGUGGUUUCAGGUUCCUCUCAAGGGGUCAUGGGAAACCUCAUCAUGAUCAACAAUGGGACAUUGCUGGUAUCCAAGCCAAUUAUGAUGUGGGCCUUAAACACCCUACAAAAAUGUGAUCUACAGAAAUGUAGGUAACUGUAGAUGGUUUUCCUAAUUUUUGUGUUGCCAUAUUUUGUGCAGGUAUUUAGUUAAGGAAUUAUAUUUUCCCAACCAACGCAGGUAAGCAUCAGUCAUUAUUUUAGAGUUUAGUUAUAAUGUGUUUAGUCUUAUAGUGAGGGAGGGAUAUGCAGGUAUCCAGGUAAGUUUUCCUACUGUUUCCCACCACGUUAUUGACCAUGAGACUUCAACAUCAUCAAGAGAUGAUGGUGCCACUACAUUGUUGACAUUGAAGUCAUGGCAAAUCCAAGUAGUGUUGAAGGUUCCCUGCUGAUGGAAGUGCCCAGAAUUAUUUGUGUCUUGUCUUUUUUUAUGUAAAACAAAUUGUUUCCUUAAACACACUUGAGCAAUGUGUUUUUUAGUUUUCUGUAAUGAGCUCACAAUCAAGCUUAACAAUAGUCAUUAAUGGAACCGUGCUGUAACCUGCUAAUUGAGAAAGUGUGUUUCCCACAAUCAGACCAUUAGAUCUUUAUAUUUCCAUGUAAGUGAGGAUGGUGUCCUUAACACUUGUCUACCAUGUAUUCCUGCAGGUAUCCUGUUAAGUUCUUUCCUAGUAUACAGGUAGAAGAUUAUGUGAUAUUAACACAUUAGCAACCUUCCUAUUUUCAGAUAUGUAGGUGAUUAAUGAUUUUUUUGAGACUCUUCUUGUAACCUUGUGUUUGUCAUGCAUGCAGUUAAGAAAUUACUUUUUCCCUAACAUUACUAGUAAGAGUGAGAUUUUACUGUGUUCUUGUUUAGACAUAAUGUGUAUUUAUCAAUUGUAGUGAUAUAUGGAUAUGCGAGUAUCCAGGUAAUUUAUCAUAUUGUCCAUCACUGUAAUGCUGAGAUUUUUGUAGGUAUCACUUCAAGAGAGGAAAGUUUCUCUUACGAGUGUUUUCCCUUGGCAUUAUGCAAGCAUCCAGUUACCUUUGAUAGGCCCUGAAAUGAUGAAAGAGACGAAGGGAAUUUGCAGGUGUACAGGUAGAAUGAGACAUUUAGGAAACACAUUUUCAACAGUAUAUUUUUUAGGUUCAUUUGAAGAGGUCACAGUGAGCCUAUCAGUAAUAGUUAACAGGGGUCAUUGCUCGUAUGGAUGUGCAUGAUAAUGUGGGCCUAAAACACAGCCCAGCCCAUCUGAUCUUCCCUUAUAUAGGUAAGUGGUGGUGUCCCUAACACUUCUGUUACUAUGAUUUUGUUGUAGCUGUUCAAGUAAGAAAUGAUAGAGCUCUUACCAAUUUAAAAAAACAUUAUUUUUCUCACUUUUUAUAUUUUAGAAUAACUUUAUGAUUAACCUCUGAGUUUUGAGUGAUAGUGCCUAUCCUGGUUAUUGGUGUUUCUUACCACAGCAGUAACCAGGGGAUUUUUACAGGUGUCCUGUCAAGAAAUGACCGUCUUACCUGACAGUGGUAUUGAUCUUGCAUUAUUACAAGUAUCCAGGUAGAGUUUAUGUGUUCUGUAAUGAUGGAGUGACGAAGGUUAUUUUCAGAUGUCUUGGUGGAAAUGUUUGUGUCCUUUAACACAUAUUUCACAAUGUGUAUUUCAGGUUUCUGUAGUGAGACCCUGAUAAACCUAACAAUGGUUGGUAUGGCAGACAUUUCUGGUAUGCAGGCAAGUGAUGAUGUGUUCUUUAACCACAUCAUAGACCAUCAGAUCUUCUUAUAUCUUUUUUUUUUUUUUUUUUGACAGAGUCUCGCUUUGUCACCCAGGCUGGAGUGCAGUGGGGUGAUCUCGGCUCACUGCAGCCUCCACCUCCCAGGUUCAAGCGAUUCUCGUGCCUCUGCAUCCUGAAUAGCUGGGAUUACAGGUGUGCACCACCACAUCCUGCUGAUUUUUGUAUUUUGAGAGAUGGGGUUUUGGCACGUUGGCCAAGCUGGUCUCGAACUCCUGGCUUCAAGCAGUCCACCCACCUUGGCCUCCCAAAGUGCUGGAAUUACAGGCGUGCACCACCACGCCCGGCCAGAUCUUCAUAUAUCUAAGAUCCUGUCAAGAAGACAUGGUAAACCUCAUCAUGAUCAAGAAUGAGACUUUGCUUGCAUCCAGGCUUCCCAAAAGUUGUUUGAUAGUAUACAGGCAUGAGAUGGUGUGACUCUAACUCAUUAGAUGCCUUCGUCUUUUCAGUCAUCAUGUGAUGGAAAGAAAGCUAUCAACUUCAUUCCUGAGACUUCCUGCAACACAGAUCCAUCUAAACUUUUACUUCAUUGGAGGGUCCUUCCUGACCCAUGCAACUCAACAAAAAACUCUCACAGUUUUUAUAUGCUUUGUUGGGGAUUAACCCAUCUUGCAUUGCAUUGCUAGCUUAGUAUGUCUAGCAUGGGCAUGCCUGCUGAAGUUUGGAACUUCCCAUCAAGGAAACAGGAAAAUGCCAUUGGCAAUGAGCUGAAGACUGAUUUACUCUACCAGUUUGGAACAUCUGUUAUUGCUGCUACUACGGUUUCUAUCACUGUUUGAUGCUGGGACUCUUAAGCUCCAACCACGUUUUCACCGAGCUGAGUCGCCUUCUUAUCACCCCUUUCUGGAGCAGCAGGACAUCUGGGGAUGAGAAGAUGGAGAGAUCAUCCUUAUAUAAUGUUGCAGUCUGGAAGCAUCACUCUCAAAAAGCCAUUGUAGAGAAUCCAAGCCGAGUUUAAGAGUGCUGUGGAAAUACACUGCUGCUACUGCUGUUUCUAUUACUGUUUGAUGCUGGGACUCUUAUGCUCCAACCACGUUUUCACCCAGCUGAGUCGCCUUCGUAUCACGCCUUUCCAAUAGAGUCUCGCUCUGUUGUCCAGGCUGGAGUGCAGUGGCAUGAUCUUGGCUCACUGAAACCUCUGCCUCCCAGGUUCAGGCGAUUCUCCUGCUUCAGCCUCACGAGUAGCUGGGACUGCAGGCCCACCAAGCCUGGCUAGUUUUUGUAUUAUUAGUAGAGACGGGGUUUCACCAUGUUGGCCAGGCUAGGCUCGAACUCCUGGCCUCAAGUGCUGGGAUUACAGGUGUGAGCCACCACACCCAGUCCUACAGUUUGAUCAUUUUUAAGGUGCAAAUUCUAUUCAACUUCCCAUAUACAUGGGGUUUCACACUGGGACGGUGAGGCAGGGGAUCAGAGGUGGGGUUAAGUAUUGAAAUCAGCAUAUAAGGCAAGAAUAGUUGAUAAUCAACACUACUCUCUAAAACUCCUUAAAUCAGUGGUGCUACAGAGAUAGUACACUGCUAGAGGCAAUUUAGAAUAUUUUGUUGUGUGUUUUUGGUUAGCAUAGCCAAGGGAGGGGGUACCUUAGAUAUUCAUGAGCCACAGCUGGGGAUUUUAAGCAACCGUCAUUGGUCAUAAAGUCCAGAGAAAAGAAGGAUCCUCUCCGGUCCUUCAGCACUUCUGAAUGCCCUGCUAGACCUGCAUUGUGUGUGAAAACCUGCUCAAGAUUAUCUGAGGAUAGAUGCUCACAGCAUUUUACAAAUAAACACAAAAGUAUUUUUAGCAAUCUUAAUAAACCCUGAAUUUUUCUGGAAAUCAACUACUGUAUGAAUCAAAAGUUUGUAUUUUGCUCUGUAUGGAACUUUUAGCACAAAUCAUUCAUUGUUGUGGAAAAUCCUGACACCACCAGUUCUCAAUAUAACACACCUGAAUCUACUGGCAUUUGUAACUAUUGCAUUCUUAGUUUUCCUACAACUAUUUAUUAUUAAAGGGGAGUACUGUUCUGAUAAGGUUGGAAAUCACUGCCUUGAAUUUCUGUAAAUCACUGAAAUCUAUGCUGCUUGAAACCAAUGUGUAGGGACCAAGGGAAAACUUCCCCUUUGCCCUCUGAAGGUUUGCUGAAAAAUCAACUGACAAAAGGCAGAUUAAUAGGACAAAAGGCAUACAAUUUAUUAACGUGCAUGAGAGUCCUACAAAAUAGGAGAUCUCAAAGAAAUGGCCAGAUAAUUAAUUGAUGCUUUUAUACCAUCUUGAGGUUACAGAAUGAAUGGGGACUUGGGAGAUUGCAAAGCACGCUAUGUUGGCAAAACAGGUUAUAGGAGAAGGAGGAGAGGAGGCCUGGCUGGCAAAGGUGGUCUUGUUAACACAGAAAAGACCUCACAGGUAGCAGCUCUCAGAGAGAAUAGAUGGUAAAUGUUUCUUUCAGACCUUUAAAGGUGUCGGACUGUCAGUUCAUCUUUCCUAGAUCCGGACAAGGCAGAGCUAAGAGAAAACCUGGCUGCAUCAGUGCAGAUUUUCUCUACAGAUGCAAAUCUCUCCCCACAAAAGACAGCUUUGCAGGGCUGCUUCUGUUUGCAGGCGCCCUGAACAGCCAUCUCAAAAUAUGU
This 20869-nucleotide long non-coding RNA is filed under the name Homo sapiens (human). RNAcentral's name for it is "HSALNT0406998". Lineage: Eukaryota; Metazoa; Chordata; Mammalia; Primates; Hominidae. The record is from RNAcentral.